GUAAUUAAUACACCUGUGCACCUGCUGGGUUACCUGCAAAACAUGCACUGUGUGGGCCCACGAGGACCGAGUUUGAGAACCUCUGCUCCAGCCCAUCUACAGCAGCACAUUUACAUUAUGCAUAUUUAUUCCUAUGUACAGCAGUACAUUUAUAUAUAUUUUGAAAGGGAACGAGUCAGGAAAUGUUAUUGCUGAAAAGAGAUUACAGAUUUUAUCCCAGAACCGCGCUUACAGGUUAAGAUGACAGCCCGUGUUCCCAAAAAAAGCCUUCACCAAGAAGCACUGCUUCUGAGGAAGGUCUUCGGACCGAAAACGCGUUUAAGCAAUUUAUCAUUUGGUAUUCCUGUGUUUUCACUGUUUGGUCAUCGACUCCAUAUCUAAUGUUUCUGGCUGCUGGGAUUUCUUUCUGGAUGCAGAGGGACUUUGGAUCGGUGCUGUGACGGGAUAUCAUUUGACCUACCAUGUGAUUGGUGAUAUAUGCCCUUUAAGUUUUUAAAAUUGUGAGUGUAUUAUUUUAUUAAAUUUUUAUAAGACUA
Long non-coding RNA from Pseudophryne corroboree (corroboree frog), 536 nucleotides. RefSeq lists it as uncharacterized. The transcript is spliced from 2 exons. The record is from RefSeq and is a predicted model, not a curated record. NCBI's taxonomy places the organism in Eukaryota, Metazoa, Chordata, Amphibia, Anura, Myobatrachidae.